UACGUAGGGUGCGAGCGUUAAUCGGAAUUACUGGGCGUAAAGCGUGCGCAGGCGGCGCGUUAAGACAGGUGUGAAAGCCCCGAGCUUAACUUGGGAAUUGCGCUUGUGACUGGCGUGCUGGAGUGUGGCAGAGGGAGGUGGAAUUCCACGUGUAGCAGUGAAAUGCGUAGAGAUGUGGAGGAACACCCGCGGCGAAGGCGGCCCGCUGGGCCACCCCUGACGCUGAGGCGCGAAGGCCCGGGGAGCGAACGGG
This 253-nucleotide ribosomal RNA is filed under the name uncultured bacterium. RNAcentral describes it as "partial 16S ribosomal RNA". It matches the Rfam family "Bacterial small subunit ribosomal RNA", at positions 524 to 776 of the family's 1533-position model. The record is from RNAcentral.